GUGCAGCAGGCGCGAAAACUUUACAAUGCGGGAAACCGUGAUAAGGGAACCUCGAGUGCUGGCGCAUAGCGUCGGCUGUCCAGAUGCCUAAAAAGCAUCUGAUAGCAAGGGCCGGGCAAGACCGGUGCCAGCCGCCGCGGUAACACCGGCGGCUCGAGUGGUGGCCACGUUUAUUGGGUCUAAAGCGUCCGUAGCCGGCUCGGCAAGUCCCCUGGGAAAUCUGGCGGCUCAACCGUCAGGCGUCCAGAGGAUACCUGCGUGGGCGUUGGGGACCGGGAGAGGUGAGA
This 287-nucleotide ribosomal RNA is filed under the name uncultured microorganism. RNAcentral describes it as "partial 16S ribosomal RNA". It matches the Rfam family "Archaeal small subunit ribosomal RNA", at positions 330 to 613 of the family's 1478-position model. The record is from RNAcentral.